GAUGAACGCUAGCGGCAGGCUUAACACAUGCAAGUCGAGGGGCAGCAUAAUGGAUAGCAAUAUCUAUGGUGGCGACCGGCGCACGGGUGCGUAACGCGUAUGCAACCUACCUUUAACAGGGGGAUAACACUGAGAAAUUGGUACUAAUACCCCAUAAUAUCAUAGAAGGCAUCUUUUAUGGUUGAAAAUUCCGAUGGUUAGAGAUGGGCAUGCGUUGUAUUAGCUAGUUGGUGAGGUAACGGCUCACCAAGUCCACGAUGGAUAGGGGUUCUGAGAGGAAGGUCCCCCACACUGGUACUGAGACACGGACCAG
Molecule: ribosomal RNA, 313 nt
Filed under: uncultured bacterium
Lineage: Bacteria
Description: bacterial SSU rRNA
Rfam family: Bacterial small subunit ribosomal RNA
Source: RNAcentral